Molecule: non-coding RNA, 149 nt
Organism: Pelobates cultripes (western spadefoot toad)
Lineage: Eukaryota; Metazoa; Chordata; Amphibia; Anura; Pelobatidae
Source: the annotation of a GenBank genome assembly
GGGAAAAUUUGGUUUCUCUGAAUCACUUCAGACAAAAUUACAUAUCGGCCCAAAUUGAAUUUCGGCCCAGCUGAAAUUCAAUGAACGAAAUUCAAUUUGGGCCGAUAUGUAAUUUUGUCUGAAGUGAUUCAGAGAAACCAAAUUUUCCC